Molecule: ribosomal RNA, 497 nt
Filed under: uncultured bacterium
Lineage: Bacteria
Description: partial 16S ribosomal RNA
Rfam family: Bacterial small subunit ribosomal RNA
Source: RNAcentral
GAUGAACGCUGGCGGCGUGCCUAAUACAUGCAAGUCGAGCGAACAGACGAGGAGCUUGCUCCUCUGAUGUUAGCGGCGGACGGGUGAGUAACACGUGGAUAACCUACCUAUAAGACUGGGAUAACUUCGGGAAACCGGAGCUAAUACCGGAUAACAUGUUGAACCGCAUGGUUCAACAGUGAAAGACGGUCUUGCUGUCACUUAUAGAUGGAUCCGCGCCGCAUUAGCUAGUUGGUAAGGUAACGGCUUACCAAGGCAACGAUGCGUAGCCGACCUGAGAGAGUGAUCGGCCACACGGGAACUGAGACACGGUCCAGACUCCUACGGGAGGCAGCAGUAGGGAAUCUUCCGCAAUGGGCGAAAGCCUGACGGAGCAACGCCGCGUGAGUGAAGAAGGUCUUCGGAUCGUAAAACUCUGUUAUUAGGGAAGAACAAAUGUGUAAGUAACUAUGCACGGCUUGACGGUACCUAAUCAGAAAGCCACGGCUAACUACGUG